UUGAUUCUUUUCAAGAUCUUGGCUCAGUUCAUCAUACUGGGCUGUACCUGGAUUCUAGGACUGUACCAGACCAACCUUUUUUUUCAGGUCCUCUUCAUAGUCCUGAACUCCCAGCAAGGCACCUUCCUCUUCAUCGUCCACUGUGUGCUCAACAAGGAGGUCAGAGAGGAGUACAUCAAAUGGCUGACCCGCUCUUUCAACAAGCAGAGCGGAGGAUCAACGCAGAAAGAAGUAACAUCUGCCUCUGAGAACUUGGACAAGGCUGAAGAAAAGACCAAAUGAUGAAUGAAUGAAUGAAAUAGGUGUGAAAUAUUAUGUUAGAUUAGUAUAGAAAAGACAAAGUAGAAAAACUGAAGUUGUAUCUCCUUUGAUCCACCAUUCAUAUCCUACUAGUUUAGUAUUCAUAUUUUUAACAUUUAACCAUGCAUUUGUAACACGUACUUGUUUUAGAUAUGAUCACAGGAAAAAU
Molecule: long non-coding RNA, 469 nt
Organism: Notolabrus celidotus (New Zealand spotty)
Lineage: Eukaryota; Metazoa; Chordata; Actinopteri; Labriformes; Labridae
Exons: 3
Source: RefSeq, a predicted model, not a curated record